UACAGAGGUCUCAAGCGUUGUUCGGAUUCAUUGGGCGUAAAGGGUGCGUAGGCGGCGCGGUAAGUCGGGUGUGAAAUCUCGGGGCUUAACUCCGAAACUGCAUUCGAUACUGCCGUGCUUGAGGACUGGAGAGGAGACUGGAAUUUACGGUGUAGCGGUGAAAUGCGUAGAUAUCGUAAGGAAGACCAGUGGCGAAGGCGGGUCUCUGGACAGCUCCUGACGCUGAGGCACGAAGGCCAGGGGAGCAAACGGG
This 253-nucleotide ribosomal RNA is filed under the name uncultured bacterium. Its description in RNAcentral is "partial 16S ribosomal RNA". It matches the Rfam family "Bacterial small subunit ribosomal RNA", at positions 524 to 776 of the family's 1533-position model. The record is from RNAcentral.